RNAcentral lists this transfer RNA (73 nucleotides) under Alosa alosa (allis shad). Its description in RNAcentral is "tRNA-OTHER". The record is from RNAcentral. Lineage: Eukaryota; Metazoa; Chordata; Actinopteri; Clupeiformes; Clupeidae.
GCAGUCGUGGCCUACUGGUUAGGGCUUCGGGCUUGGAACCGAAAGGUUGCUGGAUCAAUCCCCGACCAUUGGU